This is a long non-coding RNA of Helianthus annuus (common sunflower), 2731 nucleotides long. RefSeq lists it as uncharacterized. The record is from RefSeq and is a predicted model, not a curated record. Lineage: Eukaryota; Viridiplantae; Streptophyta; Magnoliopsida; Asterales; Asteraceae. The transcript has 9 exons.
UUUCUUUGGCUUUCAUCCCCAUGUUCCCACGUAUGGUUCCUAGGGUUGUGGGCAGUUUGUUUCUGUCGGUUCACCCCACUAUCCUUUUUCUCCUCCUAAAUCAUUGGUACUACAACCGCACCUCCUGUAGGUUAUUUAUAGAUCGUCCCCAAACCUUCCAUUCCCAUUCUCAGAUUUACAUUCUUCAAUUAUUCCCCGCUAUUCAAAAUACAUCCAACUUUACGAGCCAGUGGAGUAGUUCGAUUUCAUCAACAAUCCAUUGGAGGAGCCGUACCAACAACCGAUUGGUAAACCCUUACCUAUUUUCUCAUCUUCUCCGUUCAAUCUCCGGUUGGUUUCCGUUAUAAUACAAAUCACCAAACAAACAAACAAACCCUUCCUUUCAUCUCUCCAGCGACAAAUAAACCAACAUGGGCAGUUCCAUAUGAAGCCGCGUUGGAAGAUGAAAUUGCAGAGAGAACAUCUAAUUGUUGAAGUUUCAUCUCAUCUCACCUCUAUAGAUAAAUGAGAUAACCAGAUAAUCAUUGCCAAUUUCUUUUCAAGGACACCACCGCCUCCCAACUGUGAGAUCGAACAAAGUUAAGGUUACAUCUACAACAGUAUCACCUAGCCCUUGAAUUCAAGAUGGGAUUUUAUGGUCAUCAAAGGAGGUACCGUGCAUAGAAGAAUUCCCCUUGUCUGUAGCCAACCCAUGUGGACGAACCAAGUGGGGGCACAUCUAAGUGGAUAUGUUGGUGAAGAUCCUCUUGCAAUAAAAAAUAAUCUUAUGCCUUUUGUCCAGAAUCGCCGUUGACAGGGUUCUGCACUCAAAAGUAUUCUCAACCAAAGAUGGAACAUGGGUACGUGAUUACAUAUAUGUUGCAGAUUUUAGCUAAUGGGCAUGCAUUUAAAAAAAGGGUAAUUGAACGGUACCCCCGAUCGCGGGAGGGUUCUCCCUCCCGAGCACGAUAGCCCCAUACCUAACUGGCGGUGAAUCCCCAGCCAUCGAGUGGACCAUAGGUUUUUUGGUAAUCGACCGGAGUAGAACCCGGGUCCCCACGAUUUGUGUGGGUGAGGCUGGCUACUGGGCUGACACCCAGUGGUUAUAUGGCUACAUUUAGAAAACUCACAGUCCUGAAAUAGAUAUGUAUUCUUUUGUCAUGUUUGAUUAUUUCAUAUAUAUUAUAUUAAUAUUUACUAGACACAAUUACAAAUAAUCACAACUAUGUGGCAAAUUGUAGUUAAUUAAAUGAUAUGCAUGUCAUUAUUUUGGAUUUUGCUGCCAUGAGGAUAAAAAAUAAGAAGAAUCUACUUCUAUCUUAUUUACGAUAUUUUUAAUAUAAAAUUUUAAAUGGGCCAAACAUUGGAGCAACUGUAAGGUUAUUAGUAUGAGACCUGGAGGUCAUGGGCUUGACUCAUGGAAAGUGCAAAAUUUUUGAUUUCUCGUCGAAAAUUUUAAAGGAUCCCUCAAUUAUUGUCUAAAUAUUUAUACAAUAUAUAAAUUGGGUCCCAUGACUUUCUGCCCCCCGAAACUGUUGGUCAAGCUCCGCCACUGAUUAUAAAGUAGUUUUAGAUACAGUGAUUGACUCAGAUGGAUGGCCAAGAAGUAAGAACCGGUGAUCUUUGUUACUUUGACAAUGAAGGAUUCCUGUUCGUUAUGGAUCGGUUGAAAGAGCUGAUCAAGUAUAAAGGUUACUAGGUACCACCAGCCGAAUUGGAACACAUUUAUACAACCGCAUCAAUCUGCAGUGAUUCCGUAUGCAUUUCACCUUUUAAUCAGAAGUCGCAAUUUCAUCUUAAUUCAGAUUUAAACAUGUACAUGGGUUAAAUUGUUACACGGGUGAUGGAUAGGCCAAUCACUAUAUAGCCAAAUAUGUGGAUCGAGUUUAAUAUAGAGUUUCUUGAAUAUCUUUUUUCGACAAUAAUCCCUUAAUCCCUCUUUUGUAUAUAGUUUUUUCUAUUCUUUGAUUGUAUUUAAAUGUUUCAAUGUUGGGUAUAAAAUUUCGUUGUGUUUUUAUUCUUUUAUAUUUAAAUAAAGAUGGUUAUGAAAUUAAACUUCCCGACUAGCGGACGGGUAUAAAACUAAAAAGUUAUAUGAAAAGGGUCAAGUUAAAUGAGCUGUGCUUUUAUCUUAAACAUAAACUAUUUUGGUUUAGAAUCCAAAGAAAGAUAAUUUUGCCAUUAAUACAUUAAAAUACCCGUCUAUCGGAUUAUGACAUUUCUCAGUCUCCCCUAAGAAACGAUCCCAAAGAUACACCAAAUUUGUCAGAUGCGGACCAGACGACAACUCAGCAAGAAGAAAAUAUGUCAUCGGUGGUUGAUAAUUUGGAACAUGAGGUCGACGCUGACAUUUCUAAAUGUUACCAGGUAGAUGAUGCUAGAUGUACACUAAAUUCAUCAGAUGUCCACAAUCCAACAAGUCAGCAAGAAUUUGUUGCCUCAGUAGACGUAGACGAUGUAAAAAAUACACCAAAUUUGACAAAUGGGCACCAUGCAUCAACUCAACAAGUCGAAAAGAGGCUAUCUUUGAGGUUGAAGAGGACGAUCCAAAAGCCGAAAAAAUUGAGGCAAUAAACCACGUUUGAUUGUUUAUAACACUUUCCCUCAGUGCUGCCUACCAUUUACUUUUGCAUUAAAAUGACAGUAUUUCAUGUUUUAUCUCUCUAUCAGUUUUAUUUUAUACUGUUUGUGGUUGUACACUGUUCACGUAGGUUUUCCUUUUAUAAAUUAAAAAUGGUGCUUUUGUUUAUAA